GCCGAGGUAGCCUAGCUGGUUGGGGCGUCGGACUCAUAAUCCGAAGGUCCCGGGUUCAAAUCCCGGCCUCGGCA
This 74-nucleotide transfer RNA is filed under the name Archaeoglobus profundus. RNAcentral describes it as "tRNA-Met". It matches the Rfam family "tRNA". Rfam says of the family: Transfer RNA (tRNA) molecules are approximately 80 nucleotides in length. Their secondary structure includes four short double-helical elements and three loops (D, anti-codon, and T loops). Further hydrogen bonds mediate the characteristic L-shaped molecular structure. tRNAs have two regions of fundamental functional importance: the anti-codon, which is responsible for specific mRNA codon recognition, and the 3' end, to which the tRNAs corresponding amino acid is attached (by aminoacyl-tRNA synthetases). tRNAs cope with the degeneracy of the genetic code in two manners: having more than one tRNA (with a specific anti-codon) for a particular amino acid; and 'wobble' base-pairing, i.e. permitting non-standard base-pairing at the 3rd anti-codon position. Lineage: Archaea; Methanobacteriati; Methanobacteriota; Archaeoglobi; Archaeoglobales; Archaeoglobaceae. The record is from RNAcentral.